AACGAACGCUGGCGGCAGGCUUAACACAUGCAAGUCGAACGCAUCCUUCGGGGUGAGUGGCAGACGGGUGAGUAACGCGUGGGAACGUGCCCUUCAGUUCGGAAUAACCCAGGGAAACUUGGGCUAAUACCGGAGUACGUGCGAGAGCAGAAAGAUUUAUCGCUGAAGGAUCGGCCCGCGUCUGAUUAGCUAGUUGGGUGGGGUAAUGGCCCACCAAGGCGACGAUCAGUAGCUGGUCNGAGAGGA
RNAcentral lists this ribosomal RNA (246 nucleotides) under uncultured bacterium. RNAcentral describes it as "partial 16S ribosomal RNA". It matches the Rfam family "Bacterial small subunit ribosomal RNA", at positions 29 to 300 of the family's 1533-position model. The record is from RNAcentral.